GGGUUGUGAGGUUAAGCGACUAAGCGUACACGGUGGAUGCCCUGGCAGUCAGAGGCGAUGAAGGACGUGCUAAUCUGCGAUAAGCGUCGGUAAGGUGAUAUGAACCGUUAUAACCGGCGAUUUCCGAAUGGGGAAACCCAGUGUGUUUCGACACACUAUCAUUAACUGAAUCCAUAGGUUAAUGAGGCGAACCGGGGGAACUGAAACAUCUAAGUACCCCGAGGAAAAGAAAUCAACCGAGAUUCCCCCAGUAGCGGCGAGCGAACGGGGAGCAGCCCAGAGCCUGAAUCAGUGUGUGUGUUAGUGGAAGCGUCUGGAAAGGCGUGCGAUACAGGGUGACAGCCCCGUACACAAAAAUGCACAUGCUGUGAGCUCGAUGAGUAGGGCGGGACACGUGGUAUCCUGUCUGAAUAUGGGGGGACCAUCCUCCAAGGCUAAAUACUCCUGACUGACCGAUAGUGAACCAGUACCGUGAGGGAAAGGCGAAAAGAACCCCGGCGAGGGGAGUGAAAAAGAACCUGAAACCGUGUACGUACAAGCAGUGGGAGCACGCUUAGGCGUGUGACUGCGUACCUUUUGUAUAAUGGGUCAGCGACUUAUAUUCUGUAGCAAGGUUAACCGAAUAGGGGAGCCGAAGGGAAACCGAGUCUUAACUGGGCGUUAAGUUGCAGGGUAUAGACCCGAAACCCGGUGAUCUAGCCAUGGGCAGGUUGAAGGUUGGGUAACACUAACUGGAGGACCGAACCGACUAAUGUUGAAAAAUUAGCGGAUGACUUGUGGCUGGGGGUGAAAGGCCAAUCAAACCGGGAGAUAGCUGGUUCUCCCCGAAAGCUAUUUAGGUAGCGCCUCGUGAAUUCAUCUCCGGGGGUAGAGCACUGUUUCGGCAAGGGGGUCAUCCCGACUUACCAACCCGAUGCAAACUGCGAAUACCGGAGAAUGUUAUCACGGGAGACACACGGCGGGUGCUAACGUCCGUCGUGAAGAGGGAAACAACCCAGACCGCCAGCUAAGGUCCCAAAGUCAUGGUUAAGUGGGAAACGAUGUGGGAAGGCCCAGACAGCCAGGAUGUUGGCUUAGAAGCAGCCAUCAUUUAAAGAAAGCGUAAUAGCUCACUGGUCGAGUCGGCCUGCGCGGAAGAUGUAACGGGGCUAAACCAUGCACCGAAGCUGCGGCAGCGACGCUUAUGCGUUGUUGGGUAGGGGAGCGUUCUGUAAGCCUGCGAAGGUGUGCUGUGAGGCAUGCUGGAGGUAUCAGAAGUGCGAAUGCUGACAUAAGUAACGAUAAAGCGGGUGAAAAGCCCGCUCGCCGGAAGACCAAGGGUUCCUGUCCAACGUUAAUCGGGGCAGGGUGAGUCGACCCCUAAGGCGAGGCCGAAAGGCGUAGUCGAUGGGAAACAGGUUAAUAUUCCUGUACUUGGUGUUACUGCGAAGGGGGGACGGAGAAGGCUAUGUUGGCCGGGCGACGGUUGUCCCGGUUUAAGCGUGUAGGCUGGUUUUCCAGGCAAAUCCGGAAAAUCAAGGCUGAGGCGUGAUGACGAGGCACUACGGUGCUGAAGCAACAAAUGCCCUGCUUCCAGGAAAAGCCUCUAAGCAUCAGGUAACAUCAAAUCGUACCCCAAACCGACACAGGUGGUCAGGUAGAGAAUACCAAGGCGCUUGAGAGAACUCGGGUGAAGGAACUAGGCAAAAUGGUGCCGUAACUUCGGGAGAAGGCACGCUGAUAUGUAGGUGAAGCGACUUGCUCGUGGAGCUGAAAUCAGUCGAAGAUACCAGCUGGCUGCAACUGUUUAUUAAAAACACAGCACUGUGCAAACACGAAAGUGGACGUAUACGGUGUGACGCCUGCCCGGUGCCGGAAGGUUAAUUGAUGGGGUUAGCGCAAGCGAAGCUCUUGAUCGAAGCCCCGGUAAACGGCGGCCGUAACUAUAACGGUCCUAAGGUAGCGAAAUUCCUUGUCGGGUAAGUUCCGACCUGCACGAAUGGCGUAAUGAUGGCCAGGCUGUCUCCACCCGAGACUCAGUGAAAUUGAACUCGCUGUGAAGAUGCAGUGUACCCGCGGCAAGACGGAAAGACCCCGUGAACCUUUACUAUAGCUUGACACUGAACAUUGAGCCUUGAUGUGUAGGAUAGGUGGGAGGCUUUGAAGUGUGGACGCCAGUCUGCAUGGAGCCGACCUUGAAAUACCACCCUUUAAUGUUUGAUGUUCUAACGUUGACCCGUAAUCCGGGUUGCGGACAGUGUCUGGUGGGUAGUUUGACUGGGGCGGUCUCCUCCUAAAGAGUAACGGAGGAGCACGAAGGUUGGCUAAUCCUGGUCGGACAUCAGGAGGUUAGUGCAAUGGCAUAAGCCAGCUUGACUGCGAGCGUGACGGCGCGAGCAGGUGCGAAAGCAGGUCAUAGUGAUCCGGUGGUUCUGAAUGGAAGGGCCAUCGCUCAACGGAUAAAAGGUACUCCGGGGAUAACAGGCUGAUACCGCCCAAGAGUUCAUAUCGACGGCGGUGUUUGGCACCUCGAUGUCGGCUCAUCACAUCCUGGGGCUGAAGUAGGUCCCAAGGGUAUGGCUGUUCGCCAUUUAAAGUGGUACGCGAGCUGGGUUUAGAACGUCGUGAGACAGUUCGGUCCCUAUCUGCCGUGGGCGCUGGAGAACUGAGGGGGGCUGCUCCUAGUACGAGAGGACCGGAGUGGACGCAUCACUGGUGUUCGGGUUGUCAUGCCAAUGGCACUGCCCGGUAGCUAAAUGCGGAAGAGAUAAGUGCUGAAAGCAUCUAAGCACGAAACUUGCCCCGAGAUGAGUUCUCCCUGACUCCUUGAGAGUCCUGAAGGAACGUUGAAGACGACGACGUUGAUAGGCCGGGUGUGUAAGCGCAGCGAUGCGUUGAGCUAACCGGUACUAAUGAACCGUGAGGCUUAACCUUACAACGCCGAAGGUGUUU
Molecule: ribosomal RNA, 2931 nt
Filed under: Escherichia coli
Lineage: Bacteria; Pseudomonadati; Pseudomonadota; Gammaproteobacteria; Enterobacterales; Enterobacteriaceae
Description: 23S ribosomal RNA
Rfam family: Bacterial large subunit ribosomal RNA
Source: RNAcentral